GAACGCUGGCGGCAUGCUUACACAUGCAGUCGCACGGCCCGCAAGGGCAGUGGCGGACGGGUGAGUAACGCGUAGGUAUCUGUCUCCGGGUGGGGGAUAACUGUGGGAAACUACAGCUAAUACCGCAUGAAACCUGAGGGUCAAAGGCGCAAGUCGCCUGGAGAGGAGCCUGCGUACGAUUAGCUUGUUGGCGGGGUAAAGGCCCACCAAGGCGACGAUCGUUAGCUGGUCUGAGAGGAUGAUCAGCCACACUGGGACUGAGACACGGCCCAGACUCCUACGGGAGGCAGCAGUGGGGAAUAUUGGACAAUGGGCGCAAGCCUGAUCCAGCAAUGCCGCGUGAGUGAAGAAGGUCUUCGGAUUGUAAAGCUCUUUCGACGGGGACGAUGAUGACGGUACCCGUAGAAGAAGCCCCGGCUAACUUCGUGCCAGCAGCCGCGGUAAUACGAAGGGGGCUAGCGUUGCUCGGAAUGACUGGGCGUAAAGGGCGCGUAGGCGGUUCGUACAGUCAGACGUGAAAUUCCCGGGCCCAACCUGGGGGCUGCGUUUGAUACGUGCGGGCUUGAGUUCGGAAGAGGGUCGUGGAAUUCCCAGUGUAGAGGUGAAAUUCGUAGAUAUUGGGAAGAACACCGGUGGCGAAGGCGGCGACCUGGUCCGAUACUGACGCUGAGGCGCGAAAGCGUGGGGAGCAAACCAGGAUUAGAUACCCUGGUAGUCCACGCCCGUAACGAUGUGUGCUGGAUGUUGGGCAGU
Molecule: ribosomal RNA, 753 nt
Filed under: uncultured bacterium
Lineage: Bacteria
Description: bacterial SSU rRNA
Rfam family: Bacterial small subunit ribosomal RNA
Source: RNAcentral